GUUGACUAUAAGUAAAUAUAUGUAAAAUUAGAAUAAAAUUUUCAUCAAAAUGCUAUUUAAAAGUUCUCAUCAAAAUGAAAGAAAAAAAUAAUGACAGCACUUCCUGUUUCAUCCCAUACCAAUGUCCAUUCAGGAAUGAGUUUGAGUUUGAACCUUAUAGACCUUUCCUUGUUCAGCCUAAACCAGUAUGCACUAGUGUACGAUGUUUUCAAAUGAGUUUGGCUAUCAAUGUUCCAUUUAUAUUUAUGAGAUUAAGCAAGUUCUGUGACUUGAACUGGUUUAUAUUGCAUAGUGUAAACAGG
Molecule: long non-coding RNA, 302 nt
Filed under: Androctonus crassicauda
Lineage: Eukaryota; Metazoa; Arthropoda; Arachnida; Scorpiones; Buthidae
Source: RNAcentral